GCAGAGAAGAAUAUAUAUAGUAGAAAAACAUAAGAAAGCAGUAGAAACACAUGCCUGAUAAAUAUACACAAGGAAAAAGGAAAAGAAAAGUUGGAGAAAAUAUUUUUAUUUUUUUAAGAAACUCUAAAUCGAUGAGAAGUAAUUUUUGAAAGAAAAAGUUGGGGAAAACGUUUAAGAACUCAAGUAAAGCACAUGCAUAGAACAGAUUUAAAAAAACAAAUAGAGAAAACUUCGAAUUGCUAUGGUUUCAGAGGAACUCUAGAAUGAGAAAGGCUUGGAAAAGGUCUGAUCUAAUUCGGCUAAGUAAGAACUGGGCUCAAAAUGCUUUGCAUACGCCGAAGCUAGGCCGGAGAAACCAUAGAACCUUGAAUCGAAGAAAAUCUGAACAGACACCAUCGAGGUUAGACCUCGAAACUUCGAACACCAAGCGUUUAAGAGUAGAGGGAGGUGAACAUAGGCCAUUCAUACCUGAGAGGCCAUAUAUUCCGGUGAGAUUGAGGUUGAAGAAGGUGAGAGAGGCUAGGGUUUCAAGGACAUUUGAGAGAGUUUGAGAGAGGAAAGGUAUUCAAGGGUUGUG
RNAcentral lists this long non-coding RNA (577 nucleotides) under Nicotiana benthamiana. RNAcentral's name for it is "long non-coding RNA (NBEN_LNC031995)". The record is from RNAcentral. Lineage: Eukaryota; Viridiplantae; Streptophyta; Magnoliopsida; Solanales; Solanaceae.